GGCCGCCGAAAGUGCCGCCGAACAUGCAUGAGUUUCGCCUCUGUCUGGGAGUUUCGGCCGCCGAAGGUGCCGCCGAACCUGCCUGACUUUCGGCUCUGGAGGGACUUUCGGCCGCCGAACCUGCCGCCGAAAGUGCCCUGUCCAGCCUUUCUUUGCAUGUUUUGCAUGGAUGUUUUGAGGUGUUUUAGGGGGUUUUUGGGGGAUGUUUUUAGAGUUAUGUUCUAGUUGUUUGGUCCCUCAUUUGAGUCCACCUGUGUAGGUUCGGACCCGAGGAACCGAGGACCC
Molecule: long non-coding RNA, 285 nt
Filed under: Manihot esculenta (cassava)
Lineage: Eukaryota; Viridiplantae; Streptophyta; Magnoliopsida; Malpighiales; Euphorbiaceae
Description: long non-coding RNA (MESC_LNC011533)
Source: RNAcentral